This 496-nucleotide ribosomal RNA is filed under the name uncultured bacterium. RNAcentral's name for it is "partial 16S ribosomal RNA". It matches the Rfam family "Bacterial small subunit ribosomal RNA", at positions 28 to 506 of the family's 1533-position model. The record is from RNAcentral.
GAUGAACGCUGGCGGCGUGCCUAAUACAUGCAAGUCGAGCGAACAGACGAGGAGCUUGCUCCUCUGACGUUAGCGGCGGAUGGGUGAGUAACACGUGGAUAACCUACCUAUAAGACUGGGAUAACUUCGGGAAACCGGAGCUAAUACCGGAUAAUAUAUUGAACCGCAUGGUUCAAUAGUGAAAGACGGUUUUGCUGUCACUUAUAGAUGGAUCCGCGCCGCAUUAGCUAGUUGGUAAGGUAACGGCUUACCAAGGCAACGAUGCGUAGCCGACCUGAGAGGGUGAUCGGCCACACUGGAACUGAGACACGGUCCAGACUCCUACGGGAGGCAGCAGUAGGGAAUCUUCCGCAAUGGGCGAAAGCCUGACGGAGCAACGCCGCGUGAGUGAUGAAGGUCUUCGGAUCGUAAAACUCUGUUAUUAGGGAAGAACAAAUGUGUAAGUAACUAUGCACGUCUUGACGGUACCUAAUCAGAAAGCCACGGCUAACUACGU